GAUGAACGCUAGCGGCAGGCUUAAUACAUGCAAGUCGAGGGGCAGCACGGUUAGCAAUAACUGGUGGCGACCGGCGCACGGGUGCGUAACACGUAUACAAUCUACCUUAAACAGGGGGAUAGCCUUUUCGAAAGAGAGAUUAAUACCCCGUAAUAAAUUGAACGGCAUCGUUUGAUUUUGAAAGCUCCGGCGGUUUGAGAUGAGUAUGCGUCUGAUUAGCUAGUUGGUGAGGUAACGGCUCACCAAGGCGACGAUCAGUGGGGGAUCUGAGAGGACUAACCCCCACACUGGUACUGAGACACGGACCAGACUCCUACGGGAGGCAGCAGUAAGGAAUAUUGGUCAAUGGAGGCAACUCUGAACCAGCCAUGCCGCGUGCAGGAUGACGGCCCUAUGGGUUGUAAACUGUCUUUUAUACAAGAGAAAACCCUGGUACGUGUACCAGGUUGAUAGUAUUGUAAGAAUAAGCAUCGGACUAACUUCGUGCCAGCAGCCGCGGUAAU
RNAcentral lists this ribosomal RNA (503 nucleotides) under uncultured bacterium. RNAcentral describes it as "bacterial SSU rRNA". It matches the Rfam family "Bacterial small subunit ribosomal RNA", at positions 28 to 524 of the family's 1533-position model. The record is from RNAcentral.